RNAcentral lists this ribosomal RNA (320 nucleotides) under uncultured eukaryote. Its description in RNAcentral is "partial 18S ribosomal RNA". It matches the Rfam family "Eukaryotic small subunit ribosomal RNA", at positions 1470 to 1796 of the family's 1831-position model. The record is from RNAcentral.
CCCUUAGAUGUUCUGGGCUGCACGCGCGCUACACUGAUGUGUUCAUCGGGUUCGACCUUGCCCGGGAGGGUUGGGUAAUCCUUUCAAAACACAUCGUGAUGGGGAUAGAUUAUUGCAAUUAUUAAUCUUCAACGAGGAAUUCCUAGUAAGCGCGAGUCAUCAGCUCGUGCUGAUUACGUCCCUGCCCUUUGUACACACCGCCCGUCGCACCUACCGAUUGAAUGGUCCGGUGAAAUCUCGGGACGGCGGCUUGGUCGCUUGCGUCCGACUGCUGAAACUUGAUUAAACCAUNUNAUUUAGNGGAAGGUGAANUCGUANCA